RNAcentral lists this ribosomal RNA (259 nucleotides) under uncultured bacterium. RNAcentral describes it as "partial 16S ribosomal RNA". It matches the Rfam family "Bacterial small subunit ribosomal RNA", at positions 1244 to 1500 of the family's 1533-position model. The record is from RNAcentral.
AAGAAGCGACCACGCGAGUGUGAGCGAAUCUCAAAAAUAACGUCUCAGUUCGGAUUGUAGUCUGCAACUCGACUACAUGAAGCUGGAAUCGCUAGUAAUCGCGGAUCAGAAUGCCGCGGUGAAUACGUUCCCGGGUCUUGUACACACCGCCCGUCACACCAUGGGAGUCAGUAACGCCCGAAGCCGGUGACCCAACCUAACAAGGAGGGAGCCGUCGAAGGCGGGACGGAUGACUGGGGUGAAGUCGUAACAAGGUAAC